This 291-nucleotide ribosomal RNA is filed under the name uncultured prokaryote. Its description in RNAcentral is "partial 16S ribosomal RNA". It matches the Rfam family "Bacterial small subunit ribosomal RNA", at positions 505 to 796 of the family's 1533-position model. The record is from RNAcentral.
GUGUCAGCAGCCGCGGUAAUACGUAGGUGCAAGCGUUGUCCGGAAUUAUUGGGCGUAAAGGGCUCGCAGGCGGUUUCUCAAGUCUGAUGUGAAAGCCCCCGGCUCAACCGGGGAGGGUCAUUGGAAACUGGGGAACUUGAGUGCAGAAGAGGAGAGUGGAAUUCCACGUGUAGCGGUGAAAUGCGUAGAGAUGUGGAGGAACACCAGUGGCGAAGGCGACUCUCUGGUCUGUAACUGACGCUGAGGAGCGAAAGCGUGGGGAGCGAACAGGAUUAGAUACCCCCGUAGUCC